AAUCUCGUCCUCAAGGUAUGAAAACUUUGCUCAAUCUGAUGCUUCUCUAACAAGCAUAAUUGUUGGGAGGCUUGACCUGAAUAACUCUUUUAGAUGCCCAGAAGAGAAAGAAAAAGCAGAAGAAAAGUGAGAAAAGAAAAAUACAAAGUAGUGCACUAUGAGGAGUAGAAUCUUUGUCUUGGCAAAAAGUGCUUGUGAUAUGUGUCCCUCACCACGUGAUGUGAUGCACAUGGCAUGACACAAUAGGCCAAUU
Molecule: long non-coding RNA, 253 nt
Filed under: Elaeis guineensis (African oil palm)
Lineage: Eukaryota; Viridiplantae; Streptophyta; Magnoliopsida; Arecales; Arecaceae
Description: long non-coding RNA (EGUI_LNC031309)
Source: RNAcentral